UGUUGUAGGCGUGGGCUUUAUUAAUUUUUGAAAAUUUGCCACAAAAUGCUGACAAGGCCGAUAUUAACGACCUCAUUAAUGCCUGCAAUCUGUUUUCACAUUUGUAAAUUAUUUAUUGUUUCGCGCCGUUAGUCCGAGUGGGCGUCCUGGACUGACCGAAGUGAAGUUCCACUGUAAGAAAAUCGUGUUGUCAUAUUAAAGAUUCCUCGGUCUACAGCCAAAAAAGUGUCCCAGGCAACUGUUGAAAGAUCUCUGGUAUUCAGUGAAACAGUGACAAUAUACAGAGUGUCAGGUUUGGAGCAAAUGCCUUGUGUUUUUGCCAACUAGUUUCCCGAUCUUCUGCAGUCAGUUGCAAGCUGUUGGUUGGGUAGAUUGCAUCGAUAUUAACUGAAGUUUGGUUUGUAUUUGUUAUAUAAUUAACAGCCUUCAUCCCAGGUGCUGCGUAAAUGGAAAACUGGAGAAGUUUGCCACAAUUUUCCAGGACUUUUUAUACGAUUUGGAAACCUUGCGGCCAAGUUUAUGGGUUCAGUGCAACAAAAGACAACAUUUGAGGACAAGAACGCACAAUAAUUCCUUUAUAGCCCCAAAACGGGAAAAAAUCAUUCUGAAACACCCUGUGUAAACGUUGAUUUCUGGAUUUCUGAAGUUUUGUCCAUCAAGGAAAAUCUGCAGCUCUCGAGCUGGUUUCGUGCGGAUAAAUGUUUUUAUGAUUUUUUUAUAAAUAUGCAACGAAUAAAGAAAACGCAGUUUUUCUUAUAA
Dendroctonus ponderosae (mountain pine beetle) is the source of this 759-nucleotide long non-coding RNA. RefSeq lists it as uncharacterized. The record is from RefSeq and is a predicted model, not a curated record. Lineage: Eukaryota; Metazoa; Arthropoda; Insecta; Coleoptera; Curculionidae. The transcript is spliced from 2 exons.